Molecule: ribosomal RNA, 492 nt
Filed under: uncultured bacterium
Lineage: Bacteria
Description: partial 16S ribosomal RNA
Rfam family: Bacterial small subunit ribosomal RNA
Source: RNAcentral
AGUGAACGCUGGCGGUAGGCCUAACACAUGCAAGUCGAACGGCAGCACAGUAAGAGCUUGCUCUUACGGGUGGCGAGUGGGGGACGGGGGGGGAAAACACGGAAUUCUACUUUUUCGGGGGGGAUAAGGUAGGAAAACUUAGGCUAAUACCGCAUACAACCUCCGGUGGAAAGCAGGGGAUCUUCGGCCCUGGCGCGAUUGAAUGAGCCGAUGUCGGAUUAGCUAGUGGGCGGGGUAAAGGCCCACCAAGGCGACGAUCCGUAGCUGGUCUGAGAGGAUGAUCAGCCACACUGGAACUGAGACACGGUCCAGACUCCUACGGGAGGCAGCAGUGGGGAAUAUUGGACAAUGGGCGCAAGCCUGAUCCAGCCAUACCGCGUGGGUGAAGAAGGCCUUCGGGUUGUAAAGCCCUUUUGUUGGGAAAGAAAAGCAGCAGGUUAAUACCCCGCUGUUCUGACGGUACCCAAAGAAUAAGCACCGGCUAACUUCGUG